This 117-nucleotide ribosomal RNA is filed under the name Acanthosepion pharaonis. The record is from RNAcentral. Lineage: Eukaryota; Metazoa; Mollusca; Cephalopoda; Sepiida; Sepiidae.
UUACGGUCAAAUCACGCUGAAAACACCGGUUCUCGUUCGAUCACCGAAGUUAAGCAUCGUAGAGCCAGGUCAGUCAGUUUAGAUGGGGGACCGCUUGGGAACACCUGGUACUGUAAG